Molecule: ribosomal RNA, 761 nt
Filed under: uncultured Blastomonas sp.
Lineage: Bacteria; Pseudomonadati; Pseudomonadota; Alphaproteobacteria; Sphingomonadales; Blastomonadaceae
Description: bacterial SSU rRNA
Rfam family: Bacterial small subunit ribosomal RNA
Source: RNAcentral
GUAGGCGGCCAUUCAAGUCAGAGGUGAAAGCCCGGGGCUCAACCCCGGAACUGCCUUUGAAACUAGAUGGCUUGAAUCUUGGAGAGGCGAGCGGAAUUCCGAGUGUAGAGGUGAAAUUCGUAGAUAUUCGGAAGAACACCAGUGGCGAAGGCGACUCGCUGGACAAGUAUUGACGCUGAGGUGCGAAAGCGUGGGUAGCAAACAGGAUUAGAUACCCUGGUAGUCCACGCCGUAAACGAUGAUAACUAGCUGUCCGGGUUCAUGGAACUUGGGUGGCGCAGCUAACGCAUUAAGCUAUCCGCCUGGGGAGUACGGUCGCAAGAUUAAAACUCGAAGGAAUUGACGGGGGCCUGCACAAGCGGUGGAGCAUGUGGUCUAAUUCGAAGCAACGCGCAGAACCUUACCAGCGUUUGACAUGGCUAGUAUGAUCCCCAGAGAUGGAUUUCUUCAGUUCGGCUGGCUAGCACACAGGUGCUGCAUGGCUGUCGUCAGCUCGUGUCGUGAGAUGUUGGGUUAAGUCCCGCAACGAGCGCAACCCUCGUCUUUAGUUGCCAUCAUUCAGUUGGGCACUCUAAAGAAACCGCCGGUGAUAAGCCGGAGGAAGGUGGGGAUGACGUCAAGUCCUCAUGGCCCUUACACGCUGGGCUACACACGUGCUACAAUGGCGGUGACAGUGAGCAGCUAGAUCGCGAGAUCAUGCUAAUCUCAAAAAGCCGUCUCAGUUCGGAUUGUUCUCUGCAACUCGAGAGCAUGAAGGCGGA